RNAcentral lists this ribosomal RNA (356 nucleotides) under Phaeocystis cordata. Its description in RNAcentral is "SSU rRNA". It matches the Rfam family "Bacterial small subunit ribosomal RNA", at positions 531 to 890 of the family's 1533-position model. Lineage: Eukaryota; Haptophyta; Phaeocystales; Phaeocystaceae. The record is from RNAcentral.
GAUGCAAGCGUUAUCCGGAAUCAUUGGGCGUAAAGCGCCUGUAGGUUGUUUAAUAAGUCUGUUGUUAAAGACUAGGGCUCAACCCUAGGAAAGCAAUGGAAACUACUAGACUUGAGUAUGAUAGGGGUAGAGGGAAUUUCUAGUGUAGCGGUGAAAUGCGUAGAUAUUAGGAAGAACACCGGUGGCGAAGGCGCUCUACUGGAUCAUUACUGACACUCAGAGGCGAAAGCUAGGGUAGCAAAAGGGAUUAGAUACCCCUGUAGUCCUAGCCGUAAACGAUGGAUACUAGAUGUUGCGUUUAUUAUGCAGUAUCGUAGCUAACGCGUUAAGUAUCCCGCCUGGGGAGUACGCUCGCA